CUGUCUUCUGAAGAUGUAGCAGUUCUUAAGUGAAUAUUGUGCUUUGUGAAUUGAGGAUACACUUCACUGAGCACAUAUAGAAAUGUAUGCUCAUCCAUUCUUAAGUCAUUGAUGUACGACUUGACGUCUUCCACUGUAAGCUCACGUAACAAGUUUUGUUGAAUGCUUUUAUCGUGUCGUCGUAAAACCCACGGCUUCACCCAGAUUAGAUUAGUUUUUCGUUCCAGAUUCUAGCAGUGACUGAUAUAGCAAAUGGGCGAUCGAAAGAAUUUGAAAAAGCAGUCUGGAUAUAAAAAAAUUUUCACUUCCAUGUCAGUGAGAGUGAUUUUCGAUGAACUAAAAUGAAGAUACAACAGGUUCACGUAAUUUAAACGCCUUUAGAAAUAGAAUUAAUGUUUGAAACAAUUAAAAAAAUUGUGAUAUUGAGGAGGGAGUAGUGAUACUUUCGCGAUUUUGAUCUGCCUGCAGCUGUUGGAUACCUGGCCAAUGAGAUGAAGUUGUACCACUUCCAUCAGUCCAGACAUUUGUCAAAGAAGUGCAGUUUGCGUAUUGUAAGGCAGAAGAGCCUGUGCUGGUCUCACUUGUCCCAGUGCUUCUCAAAGAAGAACAUGUGCUUGAUGAAUCGCUGGAGGACUUUGAAGUUGGCUGUCACCCAUUGCUAAUAAAUCUGAGUUUCUGAAGUGAAAGUCCAAAGAAGGGAAGACAGCAAGAAGUAGCUAUUUGUGUUUUUCAUGGUUUAUAGACCUACUGGGGAAACUUGCCAUGUAAAAAAAA
Schistocerca nitens (vagrant locust) is the source of this 774-nucleotide long non-coding RNA. RefSeq lists it as uncharacterized. Lineage: Eukaryota; Metazoa; Arthropoda; Insecta; Orthoptera; Acrididae. The record is from RefSeq and is a predicted model, not a curated record. The transcript has 5 exons.